CAGGUGCAGCAGCACCUCCCCUCCCUUCAGCUUUGUGUGGAGGCGGUUACAGCUGCUUUUUUACGAUGAACCAUCCAAAGCUGCUGCCGAGUCAGGAGUUAGUGCUCCACCAUGUUAGCGUUGACAGUUUCUCGCCGGCCACAGCAUCGGUGUUGAAGUUUCCGGCAUCACCGCUGCUACCGCGCUCCCCGUUCUCGAAUGCGUGCGCAGGCCAAGCGUCCGCACCAACAGUGCCGUGCUCGCCGCUGAACGACUCCAGCACCAUCGCGGCGCCAUCCAUCGUCCGCCCUCAAAUACGCCAGCGUGAUCAGUGGGAGUCGUCACUGGUGGACGUGGACGCCUUCGUGCUAGGUCCCGACAGCCUCUACACAUCGAGCUUUGACCGUCGCGAACCGGUGUCGGUCCGCUACAUAGCAGAUAAGCUUGAUCGUGCGUGGCUGUCUCGGCGUCCAGUUUUAGCUAUUCGCGGGGACGAUGGCGCUGUGUCUGCCGUUCGGGGUAAAACUGGCGGUGCUGGUAGCCACAUGCCGAUUCUGUCGAAACUGAGCACGUCUGUGCUGGAGGACACUUUCACAGCACUGGAGCUGGCUGCCCAUGGACACCCUGAGGUCCCGCUGGAGCGUCUUCUGCUGUACGCGAGACCUUUUCUAGGCGAAAAGGAUGUCGGCGAGGAGGUCCUGGAGGAACUGAAUUCCUACUGGCUACUGCGUCGCAGUGGGACAGGGGGACUGCUACCAGGCAUUCCGGACCUGCGUGUUACCGUACGCGAGGACAACGAGCUGGCACUUUGCCACCCUACAGUGCUGAGGGACUGUCCAUUGCCGUUUAAACAGCGGGAUUGGUACGUCCCCGUGGUGGAGCGUCGCCGACCCACCCCCGUAGGUGACGCCCCCUCCGCCAAGCGUGCUCGGGGCGAGGCAUCGCCAGGAGGCUCGAGCUCCAGAUCGCUUGUUGCGCAGCUUCAGGCCUGUGAAGCAUACGCGGUGAAGGCGGUGAGCCUGAGUCGGGCGAUGCUUCGCCGCGAGGAAACGCGUCAGGUGCACACGCAGAUGACCGUGUAUGAGCUAGCAUCGUUGCGUAGUGUGGUGGAGGGGGCGCGAGAUGACAGUGACGUGGUGGGGGCAUCGCUGCCCGCAUCGGCACUGUCGCGCUGCCUGGUGGCGUUGUUGCGACCGACCGAGAGGGGCGCAUGGCUUGACCCGCAGACGCAGUAGCCAAAGCAACGUUAAUAUGGUGCGUAGUGCACGGCUGUGUUGAUGUGAGGGUUGGCAAGAAGGGGGGCACAAUGGAUCCCGGCAUCACCAGCCACGCUCUCCAUCUUUCUUGGUAUCUGCACCCCCGCACAGGCGCGUCACUUUACAAAAGGGCAGGAGAACAAGGUAAAAUUUCAGUGAUAGCAUCCACAGUGCUGUGCUGCAGAGUGCAAUGCAGGCUGAGACAGCUGAUGCUUUUGUGCUGCCACAAGGGCCGCUAACACUACUCAGCAGACCACUGCUUC
Molecule: unclassified non-coding RNA, 1498 nt
Filed under: Leishmania donovani
Lineage: Eukaryota; Euglenozoa; Kinetoplastea; Trypanosomatida; Trypanosomatidae
Description: gene:LdHU3.32.0100(CDS-product:hypothetical_prote in_conserved)
Source: RNAcentral